Molecule: ribosomal RNA, 510 nt
Filed under: uncultured Glomus
Lineage: Eukaryota; Fungi; Glomeromycota; Glomeromycetes; Glomerales; Glomeraceae
Description: SSU rRNA
Rfam family: Eukaryotic small subunit ribosomal RNA
Source: RNAcentral
AGCAGCCGCGGUAAUUCCAGCUCCAAUAGCGUAUAUUAAAGUUGUUGCAGUUAAAAAGCUCGUAGUUGAAUUUCGGGAUCAAUUUAUUGGUCGUGCUAUUGUACGUACUGGUAUUAUUGAUUCCUACCUUCUGACGAACCAUGAUGUCAUUAAUUUGGUGUCAUGGGGAAUCAGGACUGUUACUUUGAAAAAAUUAGAGUGUUUAAAGCAGGCUCACGCUUGAAUACAUUAGCAUGGAAUAACGAAAUAGGACGUUUGAUUCUAUUUUGUUGGUUUCUAGGAUCGACGUAAUGAUUAAUAGGGAUAGUUGGGGGCAUUAGUAUUCAAUUGUCAGAGGUGAAAUUCUUGGAUUUAUUGAAGACUAACUACUGCGAAAGCAUUUGCCAAGGAUGUUUUCAUUAAUCAAGAACGAAAGUUAGGGGAUCGAAGACGAUCAGAUACCGUCGUAGUCUUAACCAUAAACUAUGCCGACUAGGGAUCGGAUGAUGUUAAUUUUUAAUGUACUCAUUC